ACUCCUACGGGAGGCAGCAGUGGGGAAUAUUGCACAAUGGGCGCAAGCCUGAUGCAGCCAUGCCGCGUGUAUGAAGAAGGCCUUCGGGUUGUAAAGUACUUUCAGCAGUGAGGAAGGUUCAUGCGUUAAUAGCGUAUGGAUUUGACGUUAGCUGCAGAAGAAGCACCGGCUAACUCCGUGCCAGCAGCCGCGGUAAUACGGAGGGUGCGAGCGUUAAUCGGAAUUACUGGGCGUAAAGCGCAUGCAGGUGGUUUGUUAAGUCAGAUGUGAAAGCCCGGGGCUCAACCUCGGAAUUGCAUUUGAAACUGGCAGACUAGAGUACUGUAGAGGGGGGUAGAAUUUCAGGUGUAGCGGUGAAAUGCGUAGAGAUCUGAAGGAAUACCGGUGGCGAAGGCGGCCCCCUGGACAGAUACUGACACUCAGAUGCGAAAGCGUGGGGAGCAAACAGGAUUA
This 453-nucleotide ribosomal RNA is filed under the name uncultured bacterium. RNAcentral's name for it is "bacterial SSU rRNA". It matches the Rfam family "Bacterial small subunit ribosomal RNA", at positions 335 to 780 of the family's 1533-position model. The record is from RNAcentral.